This 440-nucleotide ribosomal RNA is filed under the name uncultured bacterium. RNAcentral describes it as "partial 16S ribosomal RNA". It matches the Rfam family "Bacterial small subunit ribosomal RNA", at positions 338 to 795 of the family's 1533-position model. The record is from RNAcentral.
CCUACGGGAGGCAGCAGUAGGGAAUAUUGCUCAAUGGGGGAAACCCUGAAGCAGCAACGCCGCGUGGAGGAUGAAGGUUCUCGGAUUGUAAACCCCUUUUGUUAGAGAAGAUAAUGACGGUAUCUAACGAAUAAGCACCGGCUAACUCCGUGCCAGCAGCCGCGGUAAUACGGAGGGUGCAAGCGUUACUCGGAAUCACUGGGCGUAAAGAGGGCGUAGGCGGGAUAGCAAGUCAGAUGUGAAAUCCUAUGGCUUAACCAUAGAACUGCAUUUGAAACUGUUAUUCUAGAGUAUGGGAGAGGUAGGUGGAAUUCUGGGUGUAGGGGUAAAAUCCGUAGAGAUCAAGAGGAAUACUCAUUGCGAAGGCGACCUGCUAGAACAUAACUGACGCUGAUGCGCGAAAGCGUGGGGAGCAAACAGGAUUAGAUACCCCUGUAGUC